GGCCAAAGUACUGGAGUUUCAGCUUUAGCAUCAUUCCUUCCAAAGAACACCCAGGACUGAUCUCUAGAAUGGACUGGUUGGAUCUCCCUGCAGUCCAAGGGACUCUCAAGAGUCUUCUCCAACACCACAGUUCAAAAGCAUCAAUUCUUCAGUGCUCAGCUUUCUUCACUGUCCAACACUCACAUCCAUACAUGACCUUGGUCAAGUCCUAACUUCCUUGAGCUUCAGCUCUCUUUAUAAAAUGAAGGGGUGAAAGGGGAAGAGUCCAGAUGGAGGAGAGGGAGCACAUGGAGUCAACAUCUCUGCACAGCCAAGACACUGCCAGAUGCUUGUGGGGACCUCAACACCCAGGCGGAUGGAAUGAAUCCCUGAGCAACAGGGCAGGACUUUGUGGGGAGGGAGGGGGAAGAAGGGGAGGCCGAAGGUGGUCAGCACCCCUGGGGGCAGCUGGAGGAGCGGAGGUAUCCAUACACCUGAAGAGGCACACUUACCUUGAGGGGCCAGUGGGGUCGGGAAGGGUAUGGGGGUUGGAGGACCAGAGAGGAACAUGGCUCACAUCCCCGCACCAACUUGGCCUGGGGGACCUGCUGAGGCCCUGCACCUGGUCCUCCACCUUCCAAGGCCCCCUCUGCUCACAGAGGAGGAAGAGACAAGCUGGAUGGGGAGGGACCCUCAGGGAACAGAUAUCAGAAGUUACUGGCAUUCCCCCAAGCAUUGAGCCCAGGGCAGCCUGCGGAGGCCCCAAGCCUGAUACUCCAAGGACAGAAGCAGUUUUUUGUUUUUGUUAUUGGGGUUCAGUUUUACCUUCCAGUUGUUUCAUAUAUAUAUUUUCUAAUGUUAACCUUCUCAAUUUAUUUGGUAUUCUUUGUUACUGCUAUUUAUUAUUAUUUUUGCCACACUGCACAACCUGCAGGAUCUUGGUUCUUAGGCCAGAGGUCAGGCCUGAGUUCCUGUACUGGGAGUGCCAAGUCCAAACUCCUGGAUUAACAGAAAACAUCAGCACCCAGGGGCUAUUAAUCAAAGUAAGGUCUCCUGGAGGUCCACGUCUCACACUAAGACCCAGCUCUACCCAACUGCCUGCAAUUCCCAGUGCUAGAAACUUCAGGCCAAACAACC
RNAcentral lists this long non-coding RNA (1116 nucleotides) under Bos mutus (wild yak). RNAcentral's name for it is "lncRNA (ENSBMUG00000012038.1)". Lineage: Eukaryota; Metazoa; Chordata; Mammalia; Artiodactyla; Bovidae. The record is from RNAcentral.